GCCACUCCAUGUGCUUCAGGCACACAUUCACUGCCUUGGCAGCACUAGCAAUCCAGCCUGUUGGAUCCAGAGGACAAAUCUGAGUGGAACUCAGACACCUGGCAACCACCAUCCCCAGGACCUCCCUAUGAGCCUCCUGACCUGCACACAGUGGCCAACGUGUAUCUGACGUGUUUCUAGACCUUUUCCAAGUGUGUCACCAACCUUGAUGCCCAGCUCGAUGUUCUCCCCUCCGUACACGUCCAUCCCGGGAUCCAGGAGCCCGAUCUCCCCGAAGAACUUCCUGUUCACCACGAAGGAGCAGCCGAUCAUGGCUGGAGUCCUGCACGGAGAGAAACCCAUGGGAAGGCACACCUGUCUAGUAACAGAGUAGACUUCAGGACAGACAGCAGUUUCUAUGGAAUCCUGUAAAAGAGGGUUUCCCAUUUGGAUCUUUAUAAUACAUCACAGAGGAGCCAUCACCAAGAGCAACGAGGUCACUGCAAAUCCUUUAAAAACUCAAGACAACUGUUUGCAGAACCACCAGCUGGAUCAUUUGCCCAGUACCAACUGGGCUCUGGGUUAGAGAUGUCACAUCCAUCCUGCAAAACCUCAAAAAAACCUAAGAGUGCACAGCUCCACGCUACAAGAGCAGCCGAGCUCAGGGUCUGGUCAGGGAAAUAACAGAGAAAAAUGA
Long non-coding RNA from Neopelma chrysocephalum (saffron-crested tyrant-manakin), 676 nucleotides. RefSeq lists it as uncharacterized. The transcript has 4 exons. Lineage: Eukaryota; Metazoa; Chordata; Aves; Passeriformes; Pipridae. The record is from RefSeq and is a predicted model, not a curated record.